RNAcentral lists this ribosomal RNA (497 nucleotides) under uncultured bacterium. RNAcentral describes it as "partial 16S ribosomal RNA". It matches the Rfam family "Bacterial small subunit ribosomal RNA", at positions 28 to 507 of the family's 1533-position model. The record is from RNAcentral.
GAUGAACGCUGGCGGCGUGCCUAAUACAUGCAAGUCGAGCGAACGGACGAGAAGCUUGCUUUUCUGAUGUUAGCGGCGGACGGGUGAGUAACACGUGGAUAACCUACCUAUAAGACUGGGAUAACUUCGGGAAACCGGAGCUAAUACCGGAUAAUAUUUUGAACCGCAUGGUUCAAAAGUGAAAGACGGUCUUGCUGUCACUUAUAGAUGGAUCCGCGCUGCAUUAGCUAGUUGGUAAGGUAACGGCUUACCAAGGCAACGAUGCAUAGCCGACCUGAGAGGGUGAUCGCCCACACUGGAACUGAGACACGGUCCAGACUCCUACGGGAGGCAGCAGUAGGGAACCUUCCGCAAUGGGCGAAAGCCUGACGGAGCAACGCCGCGUGAGUGAUGAAGGUCUUCGGAUCGUAAAACUCUGUUAUUAGGGAAGAACAUAUGUGUAAGUAACUGUGCACAUCUUGACGGUACCUAAUCAGAAAGCCACGGCUAACUACGUG